This 465-nucleotide ribosomal RNA is filed under the name Vreelandella stevensii. RNAcentral describes it as "partial 16S ribosomal RNA". It matches the Rfam family "Bacterial small subunit ribosomal RNA", at positions 338 to 795 of the family's 1533-position model. Lineage: Bacteria; Pseudomonadati; Pseudomonadota; Gammaproteobacteria; Oceanospirillales; Halomonadaceae. The record is from RNAcentral.
CCUACGGGUGGCAGCAGUGGGGAAUAUUGGACAAUGGGCGAAAGCCUGAUCCAGCCAUGCCGCGUGUGUGAAGAAGGCCUUCGGGUUGUAAAGCACUUUCAGUGGGGAAGAAAGCCUUGGGGCUAAUACCCUCGAGGAAGGACAUCACCCACAGAAGAAGCACCGGCUAACUCCGUGCCAACAGCCGCGGUAAUACGGAGGGUGCGAGCGUUAAUCGGAAUUACUGGGCGUAAAGCGCGCGUAGGCGGUCUGAUAAGCCGGUUGUGAAAGCCCCGGGCUCAACCUGGGAACGGCAUCCGGAACUGUCAGGCUAGAGUGCAGGAGAGGAAGGUAGAAUUCCCGGUGUAGCGGUGAAAUGCGUAGAGAUCGGGAGGAAUACCAGUGGCGAAGGCGGCCUUCUGGACUGACACUGACGCUGAGGUGCGAAAGCGUGGGUAGCAAACAGGAUUAGAUACCCGAGUAGUC